RNAcentral lists this ribosomal RNA (634 nucleotides) under uncultured bacterium. RNAcentral describes it as "bacterial SSU rRNA". It matches the Rfam family "Bacterial small subunit ribosomal RNA", at positions 8 to 607 of the family's 1533-position model. The record is from RNAcentral.
AGAGUUUGAUCCUGGCUCAGGACGAACGCUGGCGGCGUGCCUAAUACAUGCAAGUCGAACGAACUCUGGUAUUGAUUGGUGCUUGCAUCAUGAUUUACAUUUGAGUGAGUGGCGAACUGGUGAGUAACACGUGGGAAACCUGCCCAGAAGCGGGGGAUAACACCUGGAAACAGAUGCUAAUACCGCAUAACAACUUGGACCGCAUGGUCUGAGCUUGAAAGAUGGCUUCGGCUAUCACUUUUGGAUGGUCCCGCGGCGUAUUAGCUAGAUGGUGGGGUAACGGCUCACCAUGGCAAUGAUACGUAGCCGACCUGAGAGGGUAAUCGGCCACAUUGGGACUGAGACACGGCCCAAACUCCUACGGGAGGCAGCAGUAGGGAAUCUUCCACAAUGGACGAAAGUCUGAUGGAGCAACGCCGCGUGAGUGAAGAAGGGUUUCGGCUCGUAAAACUCUGUUGUUAAAGAAGAACAUAUCUGAGAGUAACUGUUCAGGUAUUGACGGUAUUUAACCAGAAAGCCACGGCUAACUACGUGCCAGCAGCCGCGGUAAUACGUAGGUGGCAAGCGUUGUCCGGAUUUAUUGGGCGUAAAGCGAGCGCAGGCGGUUUUUUAAGUCUGAUGUGAAAGCCUUCGG